RNAcentral lists this long non-coding RNA (765 nucleotides) under Fukomys damarensis (Damara mole-rat). RNAcentral's name for it is "lncRNA (ENSFDAG00000031972.1)". The record is from RNAcentral. Lineage: Eukaryota; Metazoa; Chordata; Mammalia; Rodentia; Bathyergidae.
GGCCUCUCGGGCCCGGGCGGGAGGGGCGGUCGGGAGGACUCGGAGGCGGGAAGUGGCGGACGCCUUCCCGAGGUUCCUCCUCUGCCCGCCCAUGGCCUGAGGCUAGGAUGACCGGAGCUCUAGUUUGUUCCUCGGACGUGACUGCGGAGCUUGUGCUAGCACCAAUCUGUCCCCACCCUCCUCUAGCUGGGCAGAGCACAGCUUACAUGGUGGUACAGGACAGUUCUGGAUGAAAACCAAGAGACCAAGGACUCGGAGUAAAAGAGACUGCAUUUCCAACAAGGAGUAUAUAAUGCAUGGAGAGAGGGACAACCCACAGUGACGAAGCAGAAGUGCAGAGUCCAUCCCACCUUUGUGCGUUUGCUGGGAAGUCACAGAAGAACAUGUCUGCAUCAGUGUUGCCUGGCAUUAUUUGUCCCAUCCACCAGCUGUAGAGUGAAGCUGUGCAGAGUGGAUCCCAACAGUCUGCUUCGAGCUGAGCUGAGAUGUGCUCUGCCAACAGAAGACAAAACUGGGACUCUCCAGGGGAGAGGAGGUUCUCCUCAACAACAAGGGGAUAAGACCUAAAUACAACAACUUAACCAAUGCCUACUGUAGACGUAAAGACCACCCAUAUGGGGGCAAACGGAGGUUAUUGAUCCAAAGCUUGCUACUCCAAAGGAGUCACCCACCUCACAUUUGGCAGAGGCUCUCAGCUAGACAUGUAAGUGGGAAAGUUUUAUAGUGGAAAAUGAGAAAGGCUUCAGAUAUGCCUUGGUUGGAAGU